This 489-nucleotide ribosomal RNA is filed under the name uncultured bacterium. RNAcentral describes it as "bacterial SSU rRNA". It matches the Rfam family "Bacterial small subunit ribosomal RNA", at positions 501 to 989 of the family's 1533-position model. The record is from RNAcentral.
CUACGUGCCAGCAGCCGCGGUAAUACGUAGGGCGCGAGCGUUGUCCGGAAUUAUUGGGCGUAAAGGGCUUGUAGGCGGUUGGUCGCGUCUGCCGUGAAAUUCUCUGGCUUAACUGGGGGCGUGCGGUGGGUACGGGCUGACUUGAGUGCGGUAGGGGAGACUGGAACUCCUGGUGUAGCGGUGGAAUGCGCAGAUAUCAGGAAGAACACCGGUGGCGAAGGCGGGUCUCUGGGCCGUUACUGACGCUGAGGAGCGAAAGCGUGGGGAGCGAACAGGAUUAGAUACCCUGGUAGUCCACGCUGUAAACGAUGUCGAUUUGGAGGUUGUGCCCUUGAGGCGUGGCUUCCGGAGCUAACGCGUUAAAUCGACCGCCUGGGGAGUACGGCCGCAAGGUUAAAACUCAAAUGAAUUGACGGGGGCCCGCACAAGCGGUGGAGCAUGUGGUUUAAUUCGAUGCAACGCGAAGAACCUUACCUGGUCUUGAUAUCC